AGUGAACGCUGGCGGUAGGCCUAACACAUGCAAGUCGAACGGCAGCACAGUAAGAGCUUGCUCUUACGGGUGGCGAGUGGCGGACGGGUGAGGCAUACAUCGGAUUCUACUUUUUCGUGGGGGAUAACGUAGGGAAACUUACGCUAAUACCGCAUACGACCUACGGGUGAAAGCAGUGGAUCUUCGUACCUUUCCCGAUUGAAUGAGCCGAUGCCGGAUUAGGUAGUUGGCUGGGUAACGGCCCACCAAGCCGACGAUGCGUAGCCGGUCGGACAGGAUGAUCGGCCACACUGGAACGGAGACACGGUCCAGACUCCUACGGGAGGCAGCAGUGGGGAAUCUUCCGCAAUGGGCGAAAGCCUUACGGAGCAACGCCGCGGGGGUGAAGAAGGUCUUCGGAUUGUAAAACUCUUUUUUUAGGGAAGAACAAAUGUGUAAUUAACUCUGCACUUCUUGACGGUACCUAAACAGAAAGCCACGGCUAACUUCGUG
This 492-nucleotide ribosomal RNA is filed under the name uncultured bacterium. RNAcentral describes it as "partial 16S ribosomal RNA". It matches the Rfam family "Bacterial small subunit ribosomal RNA", at positions 29 to 507 of the family's 1533-position model. The record is from RNAcentral.